GGGCGUAAAGGGAGCGCAGGCGGCAUGGCAAGUCUGAUGUGAAAACCCGGGGCCCAACCCCGGGAGUGCAUUGGAAACUGCCAGGCUGGAGUGUCGGAGGGGUAAGCGGAAUUCCUAGUGUAGCGGUGAAAUGCGUAGAUAUUAGGAGGAACACCAGUGGCGAAGGCGGCUUACUGGACGACUACUGACGCUGAGGCUCGAAAGCGUGGGGAGCAAACAGGAUUAGAUACCCCGGUAGUCCGAACA
RNAcentral lists this ribosomal RNA (246 nucleotides) under uncultured bacterium. Its description in RNAcentral is "partial 16S ribosomal RNA". It matches the Rfam family "Bacterial small subunit ribosomal RNA", at positions 556 to 801 of the family's 1533-position model. The record is from RNAcentral.